Molecule: ribosomal RNA, 214 nt
Filed under: Pycnococcus provasolii
Lineage: Eukaryota; Viridiplantae; Chlorophyta; Pseudoscourfieldiophyceae; Pseudoscourfieldiales; Pycnococcaceae
Description: partial Bacterial large subunit ribosomal RNA
Rfam family: Bacterial large subunit ribosomal RNA
Source: RNAcentral
GACUGGGGCGGUCGCCUCCCAAAGUGUAACGGAGGCGUCCAAUGCUCACCUCAGGCUGGUUGGAAACUAGCUUUAAGAGUACAAAGGCAGAAGGUGGGUUUACUGUGAGACAAACAAGUCGAGCAGUUGCGAAAGCAGGGCUUAGUGACCCUUUGGCGGUGUAUGGGUGCGCCAAAGAUCAUCGGAUAUAAGCUACCCCGGGAAAACAGGCUUA